GGCUGCAUGGUUGUCGUCAGCUCGUGCCGUGAGGUGUCGGCUUAACGUGCCAUAACGAGCGCAACCCUUAUCGUUAGUUGCCAGCGGGUGAUGCCGGGAACUCUAGCGAGACUGCCACCGUAAGGUGUGAGGAAGGUGGGGAUGACGUCAAAUCAGCACGGCCCUUACGUCCGGGGCGACACACGUGUUACAAUGGGGGGUACAGAGGGUUGCUACACAGCGAUGUGAUGCUAAUCUCUAUAAAGUCUCUCUCAGUUCGGAUCGGAGUCUGCAACUCGACUCCGUGAAGCUGGAUUCGCUAGUAAUCGCGCAUCAGCCAUGGCGCGGUGAAUACGUUCCCGGGCCUU
Molecule: ribosomal RNA, 347 nt
Filed under: uncultured Paludibacter sp.
Lineage: Bacteria; Pseudomonadati; Bacteroidota; Bacteroidia; Bacteroidales; Paludibacteraceae
Description: bacterial SSU rRNA
Rfam family: Bacterial small subunit ribosomal RNA
Source: RNAcentral